RNAcentral lists this non-coding RNA (44 nucleotides) under unclassified sequences. RNAcentral's name for it is "L31-Actinobacteria ribosomal protein leader". It matches the Rfam family "L31-Actinobacteria ribosomal protein leader". The record is from RNAcentral.
GAGGUUCCGGUUCACGCCCGCAGUCCGCAGGCGACCCGGCGACC